Molecule: long non-coding RNA, 510 nt
Filed under: Trifolium pratense (red clover)
Lineage: Eukaryota; Viridiplantae; Streptophyta; Magnoliopsida; Fabales; Fabaceae
Description: long non-coding RNA (TPRA_LNC009498)
Source: RNAcentral
UUAUUUUGUCUUUUGUAAAUAAGUCAUAAAAGAAUAAAAAAAUUAUAAAAAUAAAAAAAAUUAUAAAAAUAAAAUAAAUCAAGAAAAGAAAGAAUAUGGGAUACGCGUAUUCCCUUUGUUUGCCAACUCUAAAUUUCAACAUCUCCUUGAUUUCUCCUGGAUUCAAGUUUCAAAAAAAUCAAUUCUCCCAACAAUUCCAAAUCAUCAUCAAAACAUUCCUAAUUCAGAACAAUCAACAUUAAAGUCUAAACCUAAUUCCUUUGCUAAUAUAUAACAAGAGUUUUACAACAAGAAAAGGGAGAGAGAAAAAACAAUAACAACGGCCGCAACACCGUUACUGCGCCUUCUCUCCACCAUCCACCAACACCAUCAUUACCAAUCACACAUCAGCCACCAUCUUCAACAUAUCACCACCAAUACAAACCACCCAUAAAAUCAAAAACCCACUGUCAAAAAACAAUAACAUCAAAAAGAAGAAAAAUCAAAGCAAAGAAGAAUAGAAACAAAAUC